Molecule: RNA transcript, 1320 nt
Organism: Vespa velutina
Lineage: Eukaryota; Metazoa; Arthropoda; Insecta; Hymenoptera; Vespidae
Gene name: type-1 angiotensin II receptor-associated protein
Exons: 6
Source: RefSeq, a predicted model, not a curated record
GUAAACGUAAAAGGCGUUUACAUACGCAAUAUCUAAUACUGUGUAUAUCAUUAUGAAGUGCUAAUUCGAAAGGAAAGAGACAAAGCAGUAGAGUGACAGGUACGAAAGAACGUUGUAUUAUUGAACGGUCCAUAAGAAGAAAUAAGAAAGCAAUUGUUUCACGAGAAACACGUAGACUUUAAUUGCAUAAAAAUGCCGAAUUUAUCUAGUAUAUCCAGCUAUCCAUUAAAGGUAAUUUUUGCGAUUCAUCUGGUUCUUGUAACAUGGGGUAUUCAAGGAUGUUGGUGCCCAAAAUCUGCAAUGAUGUACAAUUUACUAUUUUUCAUUUGCUUACUCUGGGCUGUGCAUAACAUUGAAUCAGAUGAACCAUUACAAUUUGCUCUCUUCAUAAAUGUUUUAUCAAUAUUUUUUGACAUAGUGACUUUGUCUGUUUACUAUCCAAUCGGUCUAGCAUAUGCGUCUGAUAAGUUUAGUGCAGCGUUUAUGAUAAUAAACCUGGUCGUGCGUGUUGUCACGAGUAUAUAUCUAUUGCGGAUAGGACAAGCAAGAGGUGGAAGUCUUGCUACGAUGUUUACACCCUGUCCUGCCAUGGGUCAGUAGUCCAUAGGAUACAGAUGUGCCUUGUUAGCCUUGUAUUGCUUCUACAAUUUUCUGCUUUACGUAUAACUCGACAGGAUUACGAGGACAUAUCCCAUCCGAUACCUCAAAAUUCUGAUUUCGUUGGAAUUUAAAUUAUUUUGAUGGUAUAUGUUGUAAGAACUUAUAAUGUUCGAUCUUGGAUUUGUUUUUUUGUGGGCGGAUCAUUUAACAUAAGCUUAUAUGUACAAUGAUAUAAAUCUCACAUGAUAUAUUUUCAUUAUUUCUUAUAUUACAAAACAACGAACAAACAGAGACGUAAUUAAAUAUUAUCAAAGAUACAUACCAGUGUGAACAUAAUCGAUCAGAUUUUAAAUAGAACAAUAGUGCCAAUUUGUAUUUUAAUGAAUUAUACUUUCGAUCAAAUAUUUCGAUGUUCUAUAAAAUUUCGUUCUUUACGUCGAUCCGUUAAUAAUAAUAACUAAUAUUGGCACAACAUACGUUUAUUGUUUCUUAUCGUAAUCAUUUGUUACGUGCAUGCAUAUGAUCUAACAUAAACAAGUAAUAUUGUUAAAUCGCGUUAAAUGUUUCUAUUAAUUAUAUAUGAAAUACUCCGUAAUUAUCAUAUACUUAUGUAUAUAUGAUAAAUUAUAUAUAUACAAACAGAUUUAAUAUAUUAUAGAUCUAUUCUGUACGACUACUUUUAUCUGCAGUUUGCAAAUAAAAUUCUUUAUAACAAUGUAA